RNAcentral lists this long non-coding RNA (2996 nucleotides) under Sus scrofa (pig). Its description in RNAcentral is "lncRNA (ENSSSCG00025002586.1)". The record is from RNAcentral. Lineage: Eukaryota; Metazoa; Chordata; Mammalia; Artiodactyla; Suidae.
GCAAAGGGUCUUAAGUGAAGGUAUCACUCAUAUCAACAUAAUUUGUAACACUCCCUGAUGGUCUAGUGGUUAGGAUUUGGCGCUGUCAACAUAAUUGGUUAAAACACAUGUAACAGUAUAAAAGCAAGGCAUUUACUCAAGUAGCUGACAUGCUAACCUAAGCUUGAUAGAAUUAAAACUGAACUUUUACAAAUUCAAUCCAAUUUUACCUAAGUUGAGAUGAUUAUCUUAAGUAAUAGGAACAAAUACAUGUUGCUUUUUGGAAAUUAAAAAUAUGUAAUACUAGGAGUUCCCAGGCUAGGGGUUGAAUCUGAGCUGUAGCCUCUGGGCUUUGCCAUAGCCACAGCAACAUCAAAUCCAAGCCAUGUCUGUGAGCUGCAUGGCUACACCAUAGCUCAGGGCCGCGCUGGAUCCUUAACCCACUGAGCAAGUCCAGGGAUCAAACCUGCAUCCUCAUGGAUGCUAGCCAGAUUCCUUUCCACUGAGCCUCAAUGGGAACUCCAUAUUGCCUCUUUUUAUGCUAUGUAUCUUUUUAACAUAUUCCUUGUAUCCUGCUUUAUUUUUAAAAUAUAAAAAUAUAGAUAUUUUAUGUUUUUCAUGGUCUUCAUAAAUAUUUUUGUAGCUGCAUAACAUAUCAGCAAGGGUAGAUUUUAUAUACAAAUUUCCCCAUUGUGGACAUAUAAAUUGUUUCAAAUAUUUUUAGGAUUGUAAAUAAUGCUCAGAUGGAUCAUUUUUCAGUAAAGAUAUCUCCCAAAAGGAAAUAUGCUGCUCUCUAGAUAUAUUUUUAUUAUCUUUUUCUUGUUUAUAUUGAUCUGUAUCAAAAGUUUAAUAUUUUUUACAUUCCUGAAUUAUAUUGCAAAUGUGUUUUCCAAAAUGGUUUGCCAAUUUACAUUUCUGUAUGUAGCAUUCAGUGUCCUCAUUGAACUGAAUCCCUGAGAGCAUUAAAAUUCUAGCAGUAUUAAAAUGUUUUUUCAACCAUUACUAGUUUUGCAAACAAAAAAUAGAAUCUUACUUUACUUUUAAUUAACAUUCCUUUUAGCAAGCAUUUUAAUGUUUUUUAGACAAUAUUUUUUUUUGAGUUGCUUAUUGCUGUUCUGAGAUGAGUUGUAUCCUAAAUUCCUGCGUUGAAGUCCUCACCCCUUAUACCUCAAAAUGUGACUGUAUUUGGAGAUAAGGACUUUAAAGAGAUAGUAAGGGAAAAUGAGGUCAUAUGGGUGGGUCCUAAUUCAAUAUGACUAGUAUCCUUAUACAAAGAGAUUAGGACACAGGAAGCACGAAGACCAAGAGAGAACCAUGUAGGACACAGAAAGAAAGCAUCCAUCUUUACGCAGAGGAGAGAGAUCCCAGAAGAAACCCAACCUGCCAGCAGCUAGAUCUCAGACUUCUGGCUUCUAGAACUGUGAGAUAAUAAAUUUCUGUUCCUUAAACCAUUCAGCCUGUAGUAUUUUGUUAUAGCACCUCUAGCAAAAUAAAACAGUGUUUCUUGCCAAUUUAUUUAUUAGGGUCUUAGAGCGUUUCUUCUUCAUUUGUACAGACUCUUUAAAAAAACUUUUUUUGGAGUAUAGUUAACUUACAAUGUUGUAUUAGUUUCACGUGUACAGCAAAGUCAACCAGUUUAUAUAUAGAGAGAGAGAAAGAGAGAGAGAGGGAGAGAGAAUCUAUUUAUCUAGAGAUCAUAUGAAUUAAUAUACAUAAAUUCAUUCUUUUAUCUGUAUAGCUUAUUACAAGCUAUAGAGUAGAUUUCCCUGUGCUUUGCAGUAGAUUCUUAUUGAGUGAAAUAAAUCAGACGGAGAAGGAUAAAUAUUGUAUGAUAUUGCUUAUAUGUAGAAUCUAAUAAAAAUUAUACAAAAUAACUUAUAAAACAAAACAAACUCACACAUUUCAAAACCAAUCUUAUGGUGACCAUAGGGAAAAUAGAAACAAACUUACAGCUUUCAAAACCACUCCUACGGUUACCAUAGGGGAAACCAUUGGGGGUGGGGGAGGGGAUUAGGAGAGUGGGAAUAACACAUACAAGCUCUUUUUAUGUUAAACAUAUUUAUGUAUUUAUUGUUUCCUUUUUGCACUUCUUACAAAGUGAUUCUUUGGUUUUUCCAUGUUUUCCUCUUUUUUUAGCUUACAACAUGUGUGUAUUUAAUUUUUUCCCAUAAUUAUUCAUCUUUUCUAUAUGCUUUUCUUCCUGGUACUUCAAAGCCUGAAAAGUCUUUUUCCUUUAAGUGAUUUUAUACACUGUCAGUUCUAGUUUUUGUUAGUUUUUCUGUGACUUGAAGUUGACCUGUAUAAUAUAACUAUUUUCCAUGUUUGAGAAUGCAGACUUACAAAAGUUGGUGAAUUUCAAAUGUACAGAGCAAAGCUUUCUUUAAGAUUUUUAUGUCAUGCCCAGAACCCAGUCUUCUUUAUUUGAAAUGACCUAUUUAAGAUAACAGUUAUUUUCAGUGGCUUUUACUUCAUUUUGAAAACCUGCAUUGUAAAAUGGAACAAUAACCUCAUUUUUUAAAUCUUCAAUUUUGUUAAGAUCAACUGUUAUAAAGACAAAGAACCUCAAGACAAAGAAUGGCUACAGUUCUCUGAAAUCUGUUCAGUGUCUGAAGUUCUACUGAAAUCUUUCAAGUUAAGGACAUGAUGUCUUGUAAGAUGAAAAAAAAUAUUUCCUCCUGCUUUUUCUUGUUUUCAUUUGUGAUUCUGGUGCUAAGAAAAAAUUUAUUCUUUUAUGGAUUGUUUUUUCCAAAGUUUCUGCUUCUUUCUUUUUUUUCCUGUGAAGAUCUUUCUAGAACUUGUUUAGAAAUAUUCAUUUUAUUUCUUUGUUUUUGCUCUCAGGCCCCAUUAAAAAGGCCAUCUCUUCAAGACACUGAUAGUUCUUUUGUUGGUGGUGUUCAUUUCAAAAUAUAAAACUGUCUUGACUUGUGAGCUAAAAUUAUCUGACAAUUAUGGAAUUUAUCCUGAGUUGAACUGUCUUAUGUUAGUGCAGAAUAGUAAAAAAAAAAAAAAAAAAAAAA